Maylandia zebra (zebra mbuna) is the source of this 339-nucleotide non-coding RNA. The record is from RefSeq and is a predicted model, not a curated record. NCBI's taxonomy places the organism in Eukaryota, Metazoa, Chordata, Actinopteri, Cichliformes, Cichlidae.
UCAAAGUGACAGCCUGAGGUGUUCUUCAGUAAAUUGGACUACCGGACAGGAGGACCUGAGGCCCCACCGCAUUAUUUUUGGAUGCAGCAGCAGACUGAACCUCGACUGAAACCUGCUCCAUCAUCUCAUCUUUGCAGAUGUCCAUUUAUAAAGCAUCAACAACUCAAAGGAGCCGUCCUCAGAUUCAGACCUCAGCACCACCCAGUGACAGCAGACAGAUCAUCCUAUAUCUUCAAUCUUUGUAGUAACUCCAAAAUUAACUGAAGAAAACAGUACAAAGGUUAAAGUACCACAUGUGCUGUCAGUGAAAGCUGCAGCUGUUUUAUUGAUAAAUUUAAA